This 429-nucleotide ribosomal RNA is filed under the name Chloroflexota bacterium. RNAcentral's name for it is "Chloroflexi bacterium partial 16S ribosomal RNA". It matches the Rfam family "Bacterial small subunit ribosomal RNA", at positions 355 to 776 of the family's 1533-position model. Lineage: Bacteria; Bacillati; Chloroflexota. The record is from RNAcentral.
UGGGGAAUAUUGCACAAUGGGCGCAAGCCUGAUGCAGCCAUGCCGCGUGUAUGAAGAAGGCCUUCGGGUUGUAAAGUACUUUCAGUCGGGAGGAAGGUGGUAAGGUUAAUAACCUUAUCAAUUGACGUUACCGACAGAAGAAGCACCGGCUAACUCCGUGCCAGCAGCCGCGGUAAUACGGAGGGUGCAAGCGUUAAUCGGAAUUACUGGGCGUAAAGCGCACGCAGGCGGUUGAUUGAGUCAGAUGUGAAAUCCCCGGGCUUAACCCGGGAAUUGCAUCUGGUACUGGGCAGGUAGAGUCUUGUAGAGGGGGGUAGAAUUCCAUGUGUAGCGGUGAAAUGCGUAGAGAUGUGGGGGAAUACCGGUGGGGAAGGCGGCCCCCUGGACAAAGACUGACGCUCAGGUGCGAAAGCGUGGGGAGCAAACAGG